RNAcentral lists this ribosomal RNA (399 nucleotides) under uncultured bacterium. RNAcentral describes it as "bacterial SSU rRNA". It matches the Rfam family "Bacterial small subunit ribosomal RNA", at positions 29 to 412 of the family's 1533-position model. The record is from RNAcentral.
AACGAACGCUGGCGGCGUGCCUAACACAUGCAAGUCGAGCGAGAAAAGGGGAGCAAUCCCCUGAGUACAGCGGCGCACGGGUGAGUAACACGUAGGUGAUCUCCCCUCGAGCCCGGAAUAACCUACCGAAAGGUGGGCUAAUACCGGAUAUGACCACGGGAGUUUCGGCUCCUGCGGUGAAAGAUGGCCUCUACCUGUAAGCUAUCACUCAAGGAUGAGCCUGCGGCCAUUAGCUAGUUGGUGAGGUAACGGCUCACCAAGGCGAUGAUGGCUAGCUGGUCUGAGAGGAUGGCCAGCCACACUGGGACUGAAACACGGCCCAGACUCCUACGGGAGGCAGCAGUGGGGAUAUUGCGCAAUGGGCGAAAGCCUGAGCAGCGACGCCGCGUGGGUGAUGAA